This 74-nucleotide transfer RNA is filed under the name Sphingobacteriaceae bacterium. RNAcentral's name for it is "tRNA-Asp". It matches the Rfam family "tRNA". Rfam says of the family: Transfer RNA (tRNA) molecules are approximately 80 nucleotides in length. The record is from RNAcentral. Lineage: Bacteria; Pseudomonadati; Bacteroidota; Sphingobacteriia; Sphingobacteriales; Sphingobacteriaceae.
GAUGAUGUAGCUCAGUCGGUUAGAGUGUCUGUUUGUCAUACAGAAAGUCGUGGGUUCAAGUCCCAUCAUCGUCG